Long non-coding RNA from Microtus ochrogaster (prairie vole), 4710 nucleotides. RefSeq lists it as uncharacterized. NCBI's taxonomy places the organism in Eukaryota, Metazoa, Chordata, Mammalia, Rodentia, Cricetidae. The record is from RefSeq and is a predicted model, not a curated record.
CCAACUUCCUCGGAGCUUUGCUGAAACUGCACAAAAAAUCGAGCUGGGGGGUUCCCUGGCCCCGGCGUUGGGGCGGGGAGCGCUACGCCGAGGGAGGGGGCGGCGCAGACCCGACUAGGGGACACCUGGUCGAGCGCAGCUACCGCUCCGCUCGAGCCCUACGCUCCAGUGCCCUCGCUGGCUGGAGAGUUCGCCCGGACCAGGGGUCUUCCUCCGCCGCUGACAGUUGAAAAAUUAGAAGAGAUAUUCUGAUGUGGAGUGAGGAAGAGGAGAGAAGAGAGGAGAGAGAACAGUGAUGGUGACCCUUCCUGUGUCAAGCUGAGACAAAAACUAUCCAGCACAGCCUACCAAGGUAGAGAACUUGUGUCACUGGAGUGGUGUCUGAAAGGUGAACAUCUCCACGGCGGCACAAGGGCGACGCUGGCACACACACGCACGCGCACGACACGGGGGACUGGAACCGAGGAACGGGACAGAAGGGAUAACCUGCGCGAGCGGAGCGCGACGCCGGAAUCGCGCCGAAAAAUCCCCCAAAAAUCGCCAAAAAAUAACUUAAGUCAGGAGGCAACCGGCGGAGCUUCGGCAAGUUUGGCGCAGACGAUUUUAACCUUUAGAAGAGAACCAAUUCUGGAAAACAAUAAGUUUCUUUGACUGAAUACUGACAUAAUGCAUUGGAACAUGAUAGAGGAUUAAGGUUUAACAAUGAUAAAAUGAAGAUAUUAUAUUACUAAAACAGCCCUCUAAGUAGCUCAACAAUUAUUUUAGCUGGAGAAUAAUGAAGCAUUUGCUGUAUAAACAAGAAGACCUCAGUUCAAUUUCCAGCACUAAGUAGAGCAUGCUAAAGAAAUUUUUAAAUACUAUGGCUAGAAAGAAAAUAGGUGACACAACCCUAUAAUACCAGCAUUCGGGAAGUGGAGACGAGAGGACCAUCAGGAGUUGAAAGUCAACUUCAGCUCCAGCUCACUCUAAGCAACAAACCAACAAGAACCAAAGAAAUCUUAUUGUACUCAAACUAGGUUGUAACUUGGUGAUAAAAUAUGUGCUACUUGUUUGAUCCUUGCAGGAGGGAGGGGCAUGGAAAGGGAAUUGUGGAUUGCAUAAGAAAUAGGACCAUGUGUUAGAAUACUUGGUACUCAUUUGGUGGACCUGUUUGGAAGGAUAGGAGGAGGUGUGUCACUGGGAACACUUCCUAGUUAGCUCCUUCUCUGCCUGCUGUUUGCAGAUGGGGAUGUGAGUUAUGAGUUGCUGUCCCCAUGCUGUGCCUGUCUGCUGCCUUGAUGGUCAUGGGCUCGAGUCCUCUGAAAUUGUAAGCCCCAAAUUAAACACUUAGAUAAAUUUCUCUUGGUCCUGGUGUCUCUUCAUAGCAAUAGAAAAGUCACUAAGCAUUACUUUAAUUGUACAUAACUUCUUUUCACAUAUACACAUUUAAGUGUACUAUUUUAAAUACAUUUUCACUGACUUGGAAAUCUGGAGUUAAUUCAUCUUUGUGACUAAUUUUGAAACAAAUAGCUAGUAGUAAAAUUAAAGUUAUACCCAUUUACAUUAAUAAUAAUAUAGUCAUCUUUCAAAGAAGAAAUUAUUCUAGAUGGAUUUUUUUUGUGCUCUUAGGUUUUACAUGCUCAGUUUUACAAGUUAACAUUCUAAUUAAAAAUGCUUUUUGGCUUUUUUUGUCUCUCUUUGCAGGGGUUUGGGGAAGCAUUUCUUCUGAGUUGAUUCUCAUUAAAUACUAUUGAAAAGGGUAAAGAAUAGGGUUCUAAUUUGGAGGGGGUAGAUUUGGAACCAGUAAAUAUAUUCCUUGGAAAAUAAAUGAAAGAGCAUUAUUAAUAUAGUCCAUCUAGCGAAGAGUUAUAAGGGAUAGUUUAUUUCUAAUACCUUGAAGUCUUUAAUACACAGAUUGUUCCUCCAUCAGAAACUUUAAGGGAUUGUAAUCCUUCUUGCUUUGUGUAUUCAUAAAAUAUAUCCUGGGCGUUUCACUUUCCUCAUUUCUUAAUUCUUUUUCCUUUUCUUUUUAUGUUUGCUUGUUUGUUUUAGUGCUUGGGAGUUGAACUCAGGACUUACAAAAGGGCUCUACUUCUAAAACAUCCCAAUACCAAAAAAGAGAACUAUUGAAACUAUUUUUCUGCCAAAUGUUCUUCAGCCUUAACUUAUUAAUAUGUCCAAUGAAUCAUCCUUUAGUAAGGUUUCUCCCUGCUCCUCCAUUUGCCUUUGGUGAUUCUAUUAAGUAAUUUCUUUGGAAAAUGCUAGUUUUCAUUUUUCUUAUAUUUAGGAAUACUUACAUGUAAAAUUUUAAUAUGCAAAGUUUAAAAUGUCAUUUUAGUUUGAAUCAAUGAAGUCUAGUACUGUGCUAAAAUAAAAUAGUAUGUUUAAAUUGUUUAUUUAGAAAAUUUGAAUUUUAAUUAGAUUUUUAUAUAAAAGUUUUGUAUUUUCAUUUUUAGUCAUAUGAAAAUGUUAAAUAUUUGUCAAAUAGCACUAAAAAUUUCUUUUAAGCCAGAUGUGCCCACAUGUAAUCCCAGCCCUGUCUCAUUAAGCCAAUAAGGUACAAAAAUAGCCAGGCAUGGUGGCACACAGCUUUAAUCUUGGCUCUCAAGACAGAGCAAGUGGAUCUCUGAGAGUUCAAGACAGUCUAGGAGACAUCUUGAGAAUUUUUCCACUUUUGUUCUAAAAAAUAUUACUUCGUUCCAUUUUUAAAUAUUGAAAAUAUCACAAAACCAAUCAGAUUAAGUCCCUUGUUUUCAUGGAGUUUACAGUACUGGUGGAGAGUGGACAGUUACUUGGAUGAAGAAAAAAAAUGAUAGUUUUAUGUUCUGUGGGAAAAAAUGAAUUAGGCAAGAUACAAGUGAUAUAGUUACUGUUAUUUGGAAGUAUAUCUUCAAAAAUACUUUCGGAAGUAUUCUUGAGGGUGCCCCCCUGCAAGUGACAUUUGAUUAGUAAAACUCUGUAAACUACCCAGGAGAAGAUUUAUGAGUGAGACCAUACUCAAACACAUUCUUAAUGCUAAUAUUCUUUAGCUUUAGGCUCUUCUAGACAUGUGUGGAGUUCUUUUGCUGGUGUUUUUCUUUUUGUUUUGUGUGUAUAUUGCCUGCAUGCAUGUCUGUCUACCACCUGUGUGCCUUGUGCCUAAGAGAUCAAAAAUAAGUAUGAGAUUCCUGGAGUUAUGAACAGUUGUGAACCACCAUGUGCAUUCUGGAAAUCAAAUCUACAUGCUCUUAACUGCUGAACACUCUCCCCAACCCUCCUGUUGGUUGGUUUUUGCUAAAGAUGAAGCCUAGGGCCUCAAAUAUGCUUCCUAGGUUCCUAAGGAACAGCCUAGUUUUUCUAGCCCCAACUUCUAGAAAAAAGUUUAUUUCUAAAAGAUCUUUAGCUAUAUAAUAGUAUUGUAAACAUAAUGUAAAAAGAGUGAAAUAAUUCUAAAUUUGAGUUUGAGAAUAUAGAAAGGUAAAACAUGUUUCCUGUGUGGCUUCUUCCUUUACCAUGCUGCUUAGGCUUCCCAUAGUGUGAAAGGUACUUUGAGGGGAAGGAGGUCCUUUUUUGUACUUCCGUGACCACAUUAAGUUCAUCAAAAUGUGAAAUGAAAUUUAUAUUUGGUGUUGUAAAAACAUUCAGCCCAGUGUUUAUAUAGCAUGCAUAAAGUCCAAUUCCGCCUCACCUCUCAAAUUCUGGAAAUGUUAAUGAUAGUAAUUGUGGUUAUAAGCUGUAAACAUAACAAUAAAAUGAGUAAGUUUAGUUUAUUACAAUGAAGUUUUUCUCUGAAUGACUCAUUUAGGAUAUAAGCAAAUAUUUCAAUUCAUUUUUUUUCAAAUUAUUUUACAAAACUCAACUUGAUAAAAAAUUAUUAAUAAGCUAUUUAUUUGUUUAAAAAAUCUGAUUAAGGGGACUGGAGAGAUGGCUCAGAGGUUGAGAGCACUGGCUGCUUCUCUAGAGUUCCUGAAUUUAAUUCCCAGCAACCACAUGGUUGCUCACAACCAUCUGUAGUGAGAUCUGGUGCCCUCUUCUGGAGUGCAGACAGAACACUGUAUACAUAUUAAACAGAUCUUUCAGAAAAUGCAAAAAGAGUCCAAGCUGGGCAGUAUCCUGGCUUCUCUCAGCAUUUCAUCCCUAUGCAAUCCUGCCAUCUAGGCUAUUUAUUUGCUCAUGGCUCCCUGUCUUAGUCCUCCUUUCCAGCUACCUUAACCGCAGCUUCACUGCUUUCUCUCCCUGCUCUGGACUCUUCCAGAUGCCUUUGGCUAUACUCUCCCUCAUGUCUCCAAUAAAAAUUCUCUGCUUAGUCAUACGAUGGAGUGGUUAUGACCUUCAUAUACUUGAUUUCUGUCAAAAAAAAAAAACCCUAAAUUCUUUCAAUAGUGCACACUUUCUUAAAUCAGAUUGCUUUGGUUUCUGUAUGGUUAGAUUGAAGGAUUAAAUUGAAUUCUGUAAAUAAAGGUUCUAAAAACCUAGCAUAAAUUCUUUACUUAUUCAAAUUAAAAUAUUGCUAAUAAACAAUUUUUCCCAAAUCCUUUGUGAUUGGAAGUCUUUCAUGUAUGACUAAUGUUAAAUCACAUGUAAAAUGUAUAGAUGUAAACCAAUAAUGUAUUGAAAGAAAGAAAAAAUAUGAAAUGCUUAUGUCUUAAGGAAUAGCUAAAGGAACUAAAGAGUUGGAGUGAGAUUUAUUUAGUGCAUGGAAGGACAAAAGUGACUUGAGUAAGCUCUGGGAGGCAAAUAAGGGAAUAAUUA